Molecule: long non-coding RNA, 6236 nt
Filed under: Sus scrofa (pig)
Lineage: Eukaryota; Metazoa; Chordata; Mammalia; Artiodactyla; Suidae
Description: lncRNA (ENSSSCG00000051282.1)
Source: RNAcentral
UCAAGCCAGAGCUGUAGCAACAAUGGAUCCUUAACCCACUGCACCAGGGCCAGGGAUUGAACUGGCACCUCCACAGAGACAAGCUGGAUCAUUAACCCACUGUACCACAGGCGGAACUCCCCUUUAUAGGCUUUAGAAGUACUGGGGGAUGAGAGUUUCUGUUGUGGUAGAAUGGAAUUGGUGGUGUCUCCGACGAACCAGGACACGAGUUCGAUCCCUGGCCUGGCCCCAGUGGGCUGGGGUGUGGGAUGGUAUCCAGCAUUGCUGCAGCUCCAGCCAAGGUCGCAAACUGUGGCCUGGAUCUGAUCCCUGGCUGGGGAACUCCAUAUGCUACAAGGCCACCCAAAGAGAAGAAAAAAAAAAGUUACCGGGGAAAUGUAUUACUCCUUAAUCCAAGUGGUAGGAAAAGAGGAUUUAAAGUUUUUAUUCCUUAAGGAAUUUAUAUGAUAUAUACUACUCUUUUUUUUUGUCUUUUUGCUAUUUCUUUGGGCCGCUCCCGUGGCAUAUGGAGAUUCCCAGGCUAGGGGUCGAAUCAGAGCUUGACUGGUAAUGGGUAUGGAGUUUCCUCCUGGGGUGAUGAAAUGUUCUAAGAUUGUUUGUGGUCUAGGAUUGCAUAACCAUGUGACUAAACUAAAACCAACUGACUUGUACAACUGAAAUGGAUGAAGAGCAUGGAACAUGAAUUCUAUCUCAAUAAAGGUGUUACCAAAAAAGGGGAAUGAGAUAAAGUGGAAUGGGAAAUAUUACAGAAUGCUGGUGGGGAUGGUUCAGAAGAGGGAGAGGUUAAUGCUGUAGAAAAAAAAAAAAAAAGAGGAUAAUUACGAAGCAAGUCCUUAAGUAGCAAGAACAGAGCAAGAGGUAGGGAGAGGCAGUGCCCACAUGGAGGUCGACCUGUAUAGCAGGAGGUGAAGCAAAGCAUGGGCACAGGGAGUGACACACCUUUGAUGCUGGGGCUGGAGGAUUACAGAAAACAGGAGUGAAUGGUCCUCUAAGAGAGAAGGGGAGUAAUGAGGGAAAUUUAGUGGUAGGCAAUGCUAGGGUCUUCCAAGAGGUUUGUGGUCACAAAUUUAGCAAAUAUGGUGAGACCAUUUAACAACAAAUAUCCCCUGAAUGGCUGGUCAAGUUUAAGAUGCUGAGGCUGAACAGAGAAACUAGCAACCAGAAUCCAGAAGGUCAGGGGCAGCUUUGAUGGUCUCCCUUAGAGCCUUCUACCAAUCAGAGGAUGCAUGCUUGAGCAAUUUUGCCAAUACAAGGAACCAAGGUGGGGCCAAAGCAGGCCCUUGCCGGCUCCUGCGUGGAGGAGAGAAAACGAAGGUGUGUGGGAUUCAGCGGCAAAGCUUGCCCCAAGGAAAACAGUGGAGAUUGGGUUUUAGAGGCUAGCAGGGUUUUAGAGCUAGUCCCCAGUCAGUUCCCAGAAGACAAGCCAUCGAAUUAACCUAACGAAGCACAGGAUAGCACAGCCUCAGACCAGCACAGCUGAACACAAUCUUCUUGGCAGGCAGAGAAAAGAAAUGUCAAAAUAAGGCGCGGAGGAUGGAGGGAGGGAGGCUGCUUGAAUUGGAAGGGGUGGGGAGAAAGAAAAAAAUCCCGGCCCGAGACACUGAUAAAGCACCCUCUUUCCACCCACUGACACACAGCCUGAGGAUGUGUCCCAGAGCCUCAGUGUAAAGGCAUCAAACCACAGAUUAGUACGCACACUGCAUGAUGCUUUAUGAGUUUCUGAGCAUUUGCAGGCAUAGCCUCUCAUUCAGUAUUCGCAGAAGUCCCAAGACAGCAAAACGAGGUCAGCCAGGCGAUAAGCGACGGAGCGUUAAUACAUUCCAGAUCUGAUGGCUCCAAGGCCAGUGCUCCUUCCACAAGCAUUCACUGCCAUCCAGAGAGGCUUUCUCCACUAACUGGAGUACAACCAUCAGAAGGUUCCCUGUGUCCCAGAACCCUGCCAACCUAACAACCCAGCAAACGCCCUGCUUCCUGAGUGUGGCAAGAGCCAACCCUGGCAGAAGAUGCCCUGGAGUGCCUGUCAUCAUCUGGAGGAAGAGACCUGACAGCCCCUCCCUUAUACUCAACUCAAGCCCAGAGAAGCACGUCCUUGAUGUGUCUGAAAACUGGCUGCUUCACUUCCACAUGCUUGGCUAACUGAAGUCCUCACAUUGCAACCUGCUGGUGCCAGCCUCUGGCAUAAACCCCUCACUGUUACCCUAGUGACUCAGUCUACCACGCUCAUCAAUUACGAUCCCUCCAGCAGCCUCUGCUUCAGGCGCUCCUGCCUUCCUGCAGGACACUCACUCUGACAUGCUGUCCAGUCUGUGAUCUCAGCUCUGGUACUUCUGAUGCUGCCCAGAGUUAGCAGGCAGGAAAUCAGAAAGUGAGAACUUACACAUUUCUUCCAUCCUAUGAUCAUCACUCUGGUAACUUUCAAGGAAGUCCCAGAGAAAUAAACCAUCAGUCUCCAUCGCAAGAGGAUGGAUGCUGCCCCCAAAGGAACAGGCUCUAAGGGGAGGAAAGCUGGGUUGUGAAGCAUGGGGAAGGGGUGGGGAAGGGGGACAGCUGGGAUAUGGGGUCCCAGCUCUGCUCCAAACCUGCCCCUUAAGAGUCCCAGUGUGGUUUCCGGGUGUGUAGGGGUGGUGGAGGGGGAAGUCCAGGAAUUUGCUAUACAUAUCUACAGCAGGAAUAAAGCAGUCUAGGAAAACAAUACUAUCUCAUUAGCAAGGCAGGAGUUCCCUGGUGGAGAGUGUUUAAGGAUCCAGUACUGGUGCAGGUUUGAUCCCUGGCCCAGGAACUUUUGCAUGUUGCAGGUGUGGCAAAAAAAAAAAAAAGCAAGUCAAAGCUCAACUUUGAGGAGAGGUGGGUGGAUGGGGCAGGGAACUGAAAAUUGUCUAAAAACAAAGAACCACCUGUGUGAGAAAAGCAAGGGCAGUUCCUGUUAGGUUCCUACUGAUCAGCCUCUCCAGAUUAUUUCUUAUUUGCAUUUUAUUCAGUCUGGUAGUUUUUCUUUUCUUUCAAAUUUAGGGCCGAACCCGUGAAACAUGGAGGUUCCCAGGCUAGGGGUUAAAUCAGAGCUAUGGCUGCCAGCCUACGCCCCAGCCACAGCAACGUGGGAUCCAAGAUCCAAGCCGCAUCUGCGACCUAUAUACCACAGCUCACUACAACACUGGAUCCCUGAUGCACUGAGUGAGGCCAGGGAGUGAACCUGCAUCCUCAUGGAUACUAGUCGGAUUUGUUUCUGCUAUACCACAACAGGAACGCCACUAAUUUUUCUUUAGUUCUCUUUUCUUUUCCUAACUUGUGUUGGAUUGACACACUACCCCCACUCCCACUAUUUUUCCUUCUGGAUUGGAAAUUCUUUCUUCUAACUAACUAAAGUGGUUAUCUUAAAUUGUUAGCAGAUACAUAUUUUCCUAAUGAGGUCUACAGUUUUCAGCACUGUUAUUUCCCUUUAACAAGGCAGAAAUUUGAUGUGAUUUAACAAUGAAAUUCCCUUCCUUAUUCUACCUGAUUCUUCCUUGAUAAUGUGGCCAAUAAUUUUAGUUUUCCUUUUUUAAAACUAAAAAACAAACUAGAUUCUGGGUUUCUGUUCAGUGCGUUUUGCCAUCUGUGGUAGACACUGUUGGUUGCCUACUAGCAGCCAUUCCCCCUUUUUUCUUGCCAAAAGAAUCCUGAUUUUGUUCAGGCAGCAAAGAACCCAGUCCCAGGAGAUAAGACAAGCCUGUUCCAUUUUACCAGGAAUUGGUCUAAGGAUGAACCAGCUCAGGUCAAUGAAGCAUGAGAUGUCUGCUGGGGCUUCCCUGGAAAGAUUCUCCUUCUCAGAAAAGAGGCACAUUAGAAAGUUUCCUUUCUCUUAGCAUUUCCUACCCUUCCUGCUUAGGAUGCUCUAAGGUGAUAUAAUACCUGGAGCUGCAGCAGCCAUCUUACAACCAGGAGGAGAGAGCUCUUAUACCCUUAUGACAGCAGAGAAGAACAAUGGAAUACCUAGGGUUCCUCAAGUCAAUACUGGACUAAUGCUCCAACCUUGGAACUCCCUCCCUCCAACUUCUCAUUACAAGCUAGUUAAAUAUCUUCUGGAGUUUAAGUCCCUGUGGGUGACGUGAGCAUCCUGAUACACUGUCUACAGUUAAUUUACCAACACACAUCAAUUUCUGCACUUGGUUUUGCUGCUAGCAAUCUGCUCCUCUCCCCAAGUUUUCUUCUUACUGAAAUACAAACUUUUAGUAGUUCUUCUAGCAAGGACGUGUAGGUGAUAAAACUGUCUUAGCAGGUACAGAAAUAUCUUUAUUUCACCUCAUUCUUUUUUUUUCUUUUCCAGCUGCACUCACAGCAUAUGGAAGUUCCAGGGCCAGGGACUGAAUCCGAGCCAGAGCUGUGACCUACACCACAGCUGCAGCAAUGCUAGAUCCUUAACUCACUGUGCAGGGCUGGGGAAUCAAACUUGCAUCCUCACAGAGACUAUGUCAGGUCCUUAACCUGCUGAGCCACAAUGGGAACUCCUACAAUUUUUAAUGUAAAGUUUUCAUGUUUACAUAUUCUUGUUUCUUUUAUAAUUUACCUUUCUUUAACAAAUUUCUUGUUUCGCUAAUAGCCUCAAGGAUCCUUAACCUAUUUCUACUAAAUGUAUUUUCUGACUACUCUGUUAUUUUCAUUUCUUUGGGGAUAAAUUUUCCUCUGAUUUUGUUCUUCUUUCAUAUUAGUUUCCCUCAUAUUUCUGAGUAUAUAAGCUCAUCCCUUCUCCAUCUGGGGAUUUUCUCCUUUGCCUCCCCAGGUCCUCUGGGUCUCCUGGUCUAGAAUCAAAUCUUACAGUAGCAACUUAGCUUAGCUCCAGGCCCUGUCUCCCUAGGUAAGCAUCUUUGUAAUAAGCCCCAGCCCCAGGGAAUGGGUUACAGCAACUGUUUUCAGACUACUUUCCCAGCCCCUGGGUUCCAGCAGUGUAUCAGCUCUAACUCCAGGCUUUGUAUCCAGCACUCCAUAGCUGGAGUUAUGCGUAAAUCUGUUAUCCCAGAUUUCUAGCCACUUCUGCCUGCAUCCAGACUCAGAGACAAGCAGGCCUACUGCAGCUUCUGCCCUGCUCUCCUUCUGGUGUUCCUGUUCCAUUCCUCUGUGUGUGUGUGUGUGUGUGUGUCUUUUUGGGGCUGCAUCUGCGGCAUACGGAGGUUCCCAGGCUAGAGGUUGAAUUGGAGCUACAGCUGCCGGCCUAGACCACAGCCACAGCAACACGGGAUCUGAGCCGCAUCUAUGACCUACACCACAGCUCACCGAAACGCCGGAUCCUUAACCCACUGAGAGAGGCCAGGGAUCGAACCCAUGUCCUCAUGGAUACUAGUCAGGUUCAUAACUGCUGAGCCACACAGGAACUCCUUCCUGUUCCAUUUCUCAUCACAGGGAUGUUUAUCAUUUUGUCGGGGGAAGGAGGGGGAGUGCAUGACUACGUUUUUAGCAUUUUACCUUUUUAUGUAUUACUGCUCUGUGUUUAGAGCAUAAAUUUACAGUGCCAUCUUGACUGGAUGAGUUGGAUUAAACUAUUUGUACCAAGGAACCGGGAAUCCCUGCCAAAACCAGUCUCCUGAGAAGGCAUAUCAAACCAUCUCUAACGAGAUUCACAGAACUCCAGCCAACACACUGAGAGAUGCCGACUGAGACAGCCUGGGGUGAGCUGAUCAGAAGUCCCAAUUAAAACUGCUCUGCCAUCCCCACCCCAACUUCAUUCAAUCCACCAUGGGUGGGAGCAGGGCUGGGAAGAUGUGCAAACAGGAUCUUUCAGACGUAGUCUAAUCAGGCCCUCACCGAGGGAGGCCGUCCCUGCCUCCAGCCCCACUUCCAUACCACCUGAGCAUUUCCCAGUGUUUUACUUCGCCAAGGAAGCACGUACACUGGCCACAUGGACACCCCUGAUGAAAGGCCCUUCGGACCCUUUUCAAGUCCCAGCCCCCCUGCAGCAGCUCCAGCCUUUACAUCAAUUAGAUGUAAAGAACAGCAGUGGCUUCAGGAGCCAAAUUACAGCCCCAGCUGUCACCAGGCAGCUAGCCACUCUUUCCUUCCAAGCCAAGGUUCUUGAACAAUCAGAGGAAGGCUCUCCCACCUCCACCCUCUUCCUCUCAGAUUAAGUCCUGCUCUUUUCCUGCUAACCACCACAAUCUACUUUUUUGACUCAGACCCUCCUUGCUGUUUCUUUCAGCUGCAAAUGGAUUCUGAAGGUUCUGUCCUCAGCCCUUUUUCGCUUUUGCCCACUAUGCUCCAUCCCCUAC